GACGAACGCUGGCGGCGUGCUUAACACAUGCAAGUCGAACGGAAAGGCCCUGCUUUUGUCGGGGGCUCUAGUGGCGAACGGGUGAGUAACAAGUGAGUAACCUUCCCUUUACUUUGGGAUAACUUCAUGAAACGGGGGCUAAUACCGGAGAGGUGCGCCUGCUGCGUGUUGGGGGGUGGAGAGUUUCGGCGGUUGGGGAUGGACUCGCGGCUUAUCAGCUUGUGGGUGGGGUAGUGGCUUAAGAAGGCUUUGACGGGUAGCCGGCCUGAGAGGGUGACCGGCACGAUUGGGACUGAGAUGCGGCCCAGACUCCUACGGGAGGCAGCAGUGGGGAAUAUUGUACAAUGGGCGGAAGGCUGAUGCAGCAACGCCGCGUGCGGGAUGACGGCCUUCGGGUUGUAAACCGCGUUCGCCUGUGACGGAGCGUGAGUGAGGGUAAUGGGUAAAGAAGCACCGGCUAACUACGUG
RNAcentral lists this ribosomal RNA (468 nucleotides) under uncultured bacterium. RNAcentral's name for it is "partial 16S ribosomal RNA". It matches the Rfam family "Bacterial small subunit ribosomal RNA", at positions 28 to 507 of the family's 1533-position model. The record is from RNAcentral.